UAUACAACUUUCAACAACGGAUCUCUUGGCUCUCGCAUCGAUGAAGAACGCAGCGAAAUGCGAUAAGUAAUGUGAAUUGCAGAAUUCAGUGAAUCAUCGAAUCUUUGAACGCACCUUGCGCUCCUUGGUAUUCCGAGGAGCAUGCCUGUUUGAGUGUC
Molecule: ribosomal RNA, 158 nt
Filed under: Tricholoma imbricatum
Lineage: Eukaryota; Fungi; Basidiomycota; Agaricomycetes; Agaricales; Tricholomataceae
Description: 5.8S ribosomal RNA
Rfam family: 5.8S ribosomal RNA
About the family: 5.8S ribosomal RNA (5.8S rRNA) is a component of the large subunit of the eukaryotic ribosome. It is transcribed by RNA polymerase I as part of the 45S precursor that also contains 18S and 28S rRNA.
Source: RNAcentral